UACGUAGGGGGCAAGCGUUGUCCGGAUUUAUUGGGCGUAAAGAGCGUGUAGGCGGCUGGGUAGGUCCGUUGUGAAAACUCGAGGCUCAACCUCGAGACGCCGAUGGAAACCCUCCAGCUGGAGUCCGGAAGAGGAGAGUGGAAUUCCUGGUGUAGCGGUGAAAUGCGCAGAUAUCAGGAAGAACACCCGUGGCUAAGGCGGCUCUCUAGUACGGUACUGACGCUGAGACGCGAAAGCGUGGGGAGCGAACAGG
This 253-nucleotide ribosomal RNA is filed under the name uncultured bacterium. RNAcentral's name for it is "partial 16S ribosomal RNA". It matches the Rfam family "Bacterial small subunit ribosomal RNA", at positions 524 to 776 of the family's 1533-position model. The record is from RNAcentral.